GGUGCUGCUUUGUGUCCCAAAGGAUCACACGCACUUAACACUGAACUCUUCCCCUUAGAGCUCUUUAUAUCAGGCCCCAACACGCGCCCUCCCCGUUCUCCCAGUAACGUCCGCUGUUACACCUGCACAAAACCUAGCACGCAGAUAAGGAUCUCGGUGAGAUCCGUUGUUUUUUUUCAACCGCGGCAGCGCGCAGCUCAACCCGCAGGAACUGUCGCCACCGCACCGACGCCCCGCAGCCGGCCCGGCCCCACUCGGCGCCCGGCGCUCGCGCAGCCCUCAGCACCCCACCCCGCCGCCGCCAUUUUCCGCCACCGCCUCCUCAGGGCCGAGGCGCGGGAAUGCGCCCGCCUCCCUCCGCGUUGCUAUAGCAACCGCGAGCCGGCUGGCGCCCGCCGCCGCGCGCCCAAUCGGGAGGCGGCUCUCCCCCCUCCCUCCCCCGGCGCCGGAAGGGGCGUGUCCUCGGCGCCGGAAGCGGGGCCGCAGCUCCGCAGGGUGUGUGUGCGUGCGCCGAGCGGCCGCCGCGCUCCAGUCGCCUCGCCCGUCGGGAUCCAGGCUGCGGUGCGCGCCGCUCCCCCCGCCAGGAAGAAAAACUGCGUAUCAGGCAGCAAUUAUAAAAGCUACGUUCCUACAAAAGAGUUUGAAAGGUUGUUAGCGUUCAUGGCUGUAGGAAUGCGUGUGUCUUCACAUACACACUGCUGCGGGACCUCAGUCAGAAACUAGUACUCUUAUUUAAAGAGAAACUUGCUUUUGUUUGAAAGUAAUAUGGAGAUGUAAACUGGUCUAGAAAAAAAAAAAGAAUGUGAAUGCUUUUUUCAUUCUUGAUAUUAAAAAUCUGCAAAAAUGUAGUUUAUGUAAUACUUUGUUUAUUGAAUCGGUACCACUGAAGUGGUAGACUCAUUGCACAGAUGGGCCCAGUGCAGUUUUCUCAACCUCAUUAUGUCAGUACCGCAUGUUCUGAUCUCUGCUAUUUUGAUGUUGAGUACUUUUUUUGUAAGCAGGCCUUUGCUGGUAUGCAGCUUUUUGUGCUGUAUGUGAAUAAGCUCGGAUGAGGAGGAGCUAUGUAAAUAAUUAUUUGAAUGAUGAGAUAAAAAGCUAUACUGUAUCUGUCUGGUAUCCUCAUAAAUCCCAGCAGGACUAGGCCUUAUUUUCAGGUCUGUUACGUGGCCACACUUUUUGCUCCACGCUGUAAUGGAAAUGUUUCCAGGUUAUUAUUAACAAAAGCGAUUUACCUGAGAUACGUAUACAUUACUUUGUCAUAAAUUUUAUGCCUGGGGGGAGGUUUUUUGGGAUAACUCACUAUUUCCACUUGGGCUUGGGCCAAAAACGCGCUCAUUGGGACAAUGAGGUGUUACUGUGUAAGUAUACUGUACUUUGGAACCGCGCGCUUGUCUCCACCUGCAGCUGUCCUGUGUGUAGUGCCAUAGGUAUGUAGCAGUGCAGUGCUUUUCAGCCUCAAGUUCCUCAUCAAAAGUCAUUAGGGACAGCAAGGCUGCGGUCACUAAAUUUAAGUUGUCCAUACAAUAUCAGUUGCCAUCCAUACUCUUGUUACCUUUGAUAGAAAAUCCCAUGGUUACGUACAGAGAAAUGAAAGCCUUGUGUAUCAUUUUUUCCAAAUGGUGUUGGUCAGUUUUAGGGAGCGGGAAUAAAUGGUGGCAGAAAGGGGCUGGAGCA
This 1674-nucleotide long non-coding RNA is filed under the name Numida meleagris (helmeted guineafowl). RNAcentral's name for it is "lncRNA (ENSNMEG00000015930.1)". Lineage: Eukaryota; Metazoa; Chordata; Aves; Galliformes; Numididae. The record is from RNAcentral.